RNAcentral lists this ribosomal RNA (433 nucleotides) under uncultured bacterium. Its description in RNAcentral is "partial 16S ribosomal RNA". It matches the Rfam family "Bacterial small subunit ribosomal RNA", at positions 29 to 507 of the family's 1533-position model. The record is from RNAcentral.
AACGAACGCUGGCGGCAUGCCUAACACAUGCAAGUCGAACGAGACCUUCGGGUCUACUGGCGCACGGGUGCGUAACGCGUGGGAACCUGCCCUUAGGUUCGGAAUAACUCCCCGAAAGGGGUGCUAAUACCGGAUAAUGUCCUCGGACCAAAGAUUUAUCGACUUUGGAUGGGCCGGCGUUGGAUUAGCUGGUUGGUAGGGUAAAAGCCUAUCACGGCGACGAUCCAUAGCUGGUCUGAGAGGAUGGUCAGCGACACUGGGACUGGGACACGGCCGAGACUCCUGCGGGAGGCAGCAGUGGGGAAUAUUGGAAAAUGGGCGAAAGGCUGAUCCAGCAAUGCCGCGUGAGUGAUGAAGGCCUUAGGGUUGUAAAGCACUUUUACCCGGGAUGAUAAUGACGGUACCGGGAGAAUAAGCACCGGCUAACUCCGUG